CAUGGAAGAAACUGAAAGCUGGAGAACUGCUGGGCAGAGAUGUAGAGGAUGUCUCUAGUGGUCUCCAAGUCAGCACUAGCCAGAGAUGACGGCUAUGGACAUCAGAUUGUCUCCAAGAGAAGUGAAUCUUCCUCCUGGAUUUUCUGGAAACUGGUCUGUAACAGAUUUGAGAGGAGUAUUGUAUCCUGACGAAGAACGUGGACUGUAGAAUCUGAGGCCUGAGUUGGGAUCUGAACUCCAUCCCUUAUGGAGCUGCAGGACCUUGGGCAAGUGACAAUAUUUCUCUGCUGCAGGUUUCCAAUCUGAAAGAAAAACCACCCACUUCAUUUAAAGAGCUAAUGUGUUUAAUCACACAAAAAUGUCCUUAUCGUGUGAUGUAUGUAUUAGUUGUUAUUGUUAGUUUUUGUGUAAUUAUCAAUACAACAGAUCUGUCUUUUUAAGUUGAUAUGACAAUGCCUCCUACAGAAAAGAAUUAAGUCUUUGAUAAACAUCAUCUCAGGAACAAAGUUGAAAUCUUCCUAAAUUAUAAAGGUUAUUACUAAAGGAGACCAAUUACUUGACCACUUGAAAAAUGUUGGUUAGAUUUUUUUGUGAACUUAUUUCAUUUCUAAAUACCAUUUAUAUAUCUUAUCUUCAGUUCAAAUGUGCCUUGAAUGGUCUUUGUUAAGGAAGAUGACUAACUUCUUGCAGAAGUUUAACAUCUUGGUACCCUUAGAAAUGAAUCUUGUU
Equus caballus (horse) is the source of this 729-nucleotide non-coding RNA. The record is from RefSeq and is a predicted model, not a curated record. NCBI's taxonomy places the organism in Eukaryota, Metazoa, Chordata, Mammalia, Perissodactyla, Equidae.